UUGCUUGCUUCAGCAGCACAUAUAUUAAAAUUGAAUAAUACAGAGAUUAGCAUGGCCCCUGUGCAAGGAUGACAUGCAAAUUUGUGAAGCAUAUUAAAAUGCU
Molecule: small nuclear RNA, 103 nt
Organism: Rhinopithecus bieti (black snub-nosed monkey)
Lineage: Eukaryota; Metazoa; Chordata; Mammalia; Primates; Cercopithecidae
Source: Ensembl